Cyprinus carpio (common carp) is the source of this 374-nucleotide long non-coding RNA. The record is from Ensembl. Lineage: Eukaryota; Metazoa; Chordata; Actinopteri; Cypriniformes; Cyprinidae.
AGCACAUGCCUGAAACAUCACACCAAAUUGUUCUGCAUGGAUCAGUCCGAGAAACUUAAAAGAUUGAAGUGAUCAAGGUGAUAUCUGGCAUAUGGGUUGCUGCCAGGAAGGAGAGUGCCAGAUGUUUUGGCAAUUCAGGCACACAGGCAAUGAGUUGUAGCCUCAGUCCAGGGUUUGGUGGGCAAUUGUCUGGUCAUUCAGUCUAGUUUAUUCAAUGACAAGAACUUUAUCAAGAAAUAGCAUUAAAAUUAAAGUUUAUAUAUAUUGAUUUUUUUAGGGGGUUGGUAUGUUAUAUAUGGGGUUGGUAUAUGUAUGUUUUUUUUUUUUUUUUGCAUGAAUAGAAAGUUCAAAAGAACAGCAUUUAUUUGAAAUUA